UAAAGAUUAACAUUUUUUAAAAAAUGGAUGCUCAUUCCCAGGUUCAUAAAACAUGGGUUUAUGAAGUCUCAAAUGACUGUUCAAACUGACCUACUGCAACAUCUAUUCCUGGGUUCAGAAUUCUAAGUUUUAAAAAGCUACACUGUAAAUUCACAAUAUUACUACGAAAUGACAAGGUGAAGCAAGUGGUGACCAGAGAGGGUGCCUUCUUAGUUGUGACACCCUCUUUAUAGAUCUUCCUCUCCAGAUAAGUUUGCUUGGUAGCCAAUAUUACAUUUUCUUAUUUUCCCAGGCCUUUUAAUGUAUAAUGUUGUAUUUUUUUAAUAUGAUGAUGACUGGUUCUUGUAUUUUACUUUGUUUUUGUAAUGCACUCAUCUCCAUUCUUAAAAUUUGUUCAACCUUGGCAGGCAGAAAUUCCAUUUGGUAACAGCAAGCUUUUAAACCUCGCUGGGUUUCACAAAGCAAAAAUCAAAAUGGAAAGGUAGAGUCAAGUAGCUUAACCAAAUUUAAGAAAUGUAGAUAUUAGAUAAUGGCUCCCUGUAAGCCUUUCCCAUAUUAAAAUUCUUCGUAAUAUUUUAACCAGCAGGUUCCUUGCUGUUUGCUAAAACUGCUCAUUAGGCCACAGCUGCUUUGAGCAGCUUUUACAUUUAAGGCCCUGUCAACUAGAAGAGUGUUCAUCAGUGCACAGAUAAGCCUGGCCACAGUAGGAGAUGACAGUUUUUUUCAUGCCCCUCGAAAUCUCUUAAUUCCUGUCAUUUUUUCUCCCCUCCUACAAAAUCUCAUUCUUGCAGGGAAAAAGACUUCAUGCUGUAACUUGCUUAGCAAGUUCUGUUAAUAUCCAUGACACUAAGAGAGUAUUUGGAUUAAAGGACUACAGCAUACAGACGUUAGCAGAAUUUUCCCACAGACUUAGGCUUUUAAAUACCCCUUCCAUCUCAGUAUCUGUCCAAAUUGAUUAGGCUGUGGAUUGAAUCGUGGUAUAGAAUGAAUGAAUUUUUUUUUGUAGUCUGUGGAUCUUAAUGCAAGAUUCGGAGCUUACACUUCUGGAUCUAAUGAUCUUCUGAAAUGCAGAUUACAAGUGAGAACACCCGCCUGCCUGCUAAACAGCUAAAGGGAUUAUUGGAGACACCAAUAUGGGGAGCAGUAACAUGGGUGCAGCAGUGUGCAGUCCUGGUGUUGUAACUCUGCUGCAUUAUUUGUUAGUAGUAACUUAAUGCUACUGUAAAAUUGGCACAUUGAUGCCUUUUGUGUAGGCAUCUGCCACUCAACAAUAGCAAUGAGCAACCUAUUAAUAUAGUUGUCCCCUCCCAAGGCUGGAACUGAUCUGGAAUGUAGUGGGGGCACUUUCUAAGGUGGAGGCCUCCUGGACUAUAGUGCUUUCAUGGGAGUCUCUUAUGGGCUAGCAGAUUAAAGCAUGUAUGUAGCAGCAGACAUGGUUUGAAUUGUGCCUUUUAUUUGGGAUAGUUGGUGCCAUAAAACAGCUCUCUCAUCCCUACAAACGUUACUUUUAGAUAGUGCAGGCAAGAAGGCGUUGUUAUGUGCCUUCAAGUCGAUUACGACUUUUGGUGACCCUAUGAAUCAGCAACCUCCAAGAGCAUCUGUCAUGAACCACCCUGUUCAGAUCUUGUAAGUUCAGGUCUGUGGCUUCCUUUACGGAAUCAAUCCGUCUCUUGUUUGGCCUUCCUCUUUUUCUACUCCCUUCUGUUUUUCCCAGCAUUGUUGUCUUUUCUAGUGAAUCACGUCUUCUUAUUAUGUGUCCAAAGUAUGAUAACCUCAGUUUCAUCAUUUUAGCUUCUAGUGAUAGUUCUGGUUUAAUUUGUUUAACAUGGCUGCAACCAUAUCUACUCAGAAGUAAGUCCUAUUGAGUUCUAUGGGGCUUAGUUCCUUAAUAAGCAUGUUUACAGUUGCUGCCUUCAGGGGCAUCCAUCUGCGCUCCCAUCUAACAUCUCUGCAACACUAAGCUCCUUUCUUCCAAUAAUGGCCUGGCCUGAGGGCACAUAAUCCCUUCUUGCCAGAAGCAAGUAAGCGAGAUUAAAUGUUCCCUAAAGGCAUUGAACUGUGACCUGGGAGACCAGGGUUCGAAUCCCCACACAGCCAUGAAGCUCACUGGGUAACCUUGGGCCAGUCACUGCCUCUCAGACUCAGAAGAAGGCAAUGGUAAACCACCUCUGUCUGAAUACUGCUUAUUGAAGACCCUAUCUGGGAUCAACUUGAAGGCAGUCCAUUUCCAUUUUGCAUCACCCUAAGCUUGUGAGAAAGAAUGACCUUGUCACUUCAGAUGGACCUAGGAACACCCUAUUUUAGCAACCGAAGCCAGCUGCCUCGGACAAUUGCCACACUUUUUUGGCGGGCUGGACCGGCACCUCUGCCACGAACUUAGCAAGAACUGCCUCUCGCAGGCCCUGCGCUCAGGUCCUGCUUGUGGGCUUCCUGUUGGGGCAUCCGGUCGGCCACUGUGAGAACAGGAUGCUGGACUAGAUGGGCCACCGGCCUGAUCCAGCAGGUUCUUCUUAUGUUCUUACAACACCCAUGGCAGAGGCCCAUUCAUCCAGCUGGGAACACUUGUCAGAACAAAAGUAUCUCCUUGAAAAUACAGGUGUUGGGCACCUGUUGUAUCUCGACAGAACAGCCACACUGAAAGCCCUUUUCUGAGUUACUGUGGAGUGGGCUUCCAAUACCUUUGGAACUCACAGAGGAAGGUCUCCCGCAGGCUGCAGUGACCUACUGGGUAUAUAAGAGGUUAUAUACUGGGUAUAUAAGAAGGCCCAUGAACUUCCCAAACAGAGGUUGGCUAUUAUCAAAGGUGCUAUGGACUUCGAAGAAGCACGGAUACAGGGCGAUAGGGACAAACGAGCUAAGCGGAAGGAACGACAAAUCCUCAUCGCGAUCAUCUUCCAUCUGGAAACCUAUGUCCUCACUGUGGGCUGUGCGGAUCCAGAAUUGGCCUCCACAGUCACUUACAGACCCACUGUUAAAAACCUUAUCUCGGAAGACAAUCUUACGUGGCCACAAGUGAUCGCCAAUUAAAUGAUGAUAUAAACGUAGGUCACUGCAGUCUGCAGAAGACUUUCCCCUGCAAGAUAUCAGAAGGCUCACUCCACAGUAACGCAGAGCAGGGCUUUGCAUGUGGCUACUCCAUUCUGUGGAACAACAUUCCUGUCAGGAUGCAACAGGCGCCCACCAUCUGCUUCUUCCAGAAGACACUUUUGUACUGACAAGCUUGCCCAGCUGGAAAAAUGGGCCUCUGCGAUGGGUGUCAGAAGAAAACAAGAAGAGCCUGCUGGGUCAGGGAAGUGGCCCAUCUAGUCCAGCAUCCUGUUGUCACAGCGGCCAACCAGAUGCCCACGGGAAGGCUGCAAGCAGGACCUGAGCGCAGGACCUGUGGGGGCUGCAGGACCUGAGCGCAACAGCACUCUCCCUUCCUGCGGUUCCCAGCAACUGGUAUUCGGAAGCAUUCUGCCUUCGACCAUGGAGGCAGAGUGUGGCCAUUGGCACCUUUAUCCUCCGUGAAUUUGUCUAACCCUCUUUCAAAGUCAAGUUGGUGGUUUGCCACUGCCUCUCGUGGGAGCAAAUUCCACAGUUUAACUAUGCACUGCGUGAAGAAAUACUUUCCUUUAUCUGUCAAUUAAAAAAAUGCUUUUCAGAUAAAAAGAAACAAAACACAAGGGAUGAAAUACAAACUAAAUACUCUCUCCCUCCAGGGGAACGUCCUGUUGAAAAAUACAAGAAACUAUCAGCUAGUCAUUCAUCAAACAAAGGUGCCCUUCCACAUUUCACCGUGGGUCACCAGUGGCCUAUCCAUGUUCCUUAGUUGCAGCAUAACUAAUAAAAGAGAACCAAA
Rhineura floridana is the source of this 3841-nucleotide long non-coding RNA. RefSeq lists it as uncharacterized. The record is from RefSeq and is a predicted model, not a curated record. The transcript is spliced from 3 exons. NCBI's taxonomy places the organism in Eukaryota, Metazoa, Chordata, Lepidosauria, Squamata, Rhineuridae.